Orcinus orca (killer whale) is the source of this 2081-nucleotide long non-coding RNA. RefSeq lists it as uncharacterized. The transcript is spliced from 3 exons. The record is from RefSeq and is a predicted model, not a curated record. NCBI's taxonomy places the organism in Eukaryota, Metazoa, Chordata, Mammalia, Artiodactyla, Delphinidae.
ACCACCGGCAGCCAGGAGAGGGGAUGGAACAGAUCCUCCUCUCAGGCCGUAGAAGGAACUGGCCCUGCCCACAACUGGAUCUCAGACUUCUGGCCUCCGGAGCUGUGGGACAGUAAAUUUCUGUUGCUUAAGCCGUCCAGUUUGUGAUACUUGUAACAGCAGCCCUAGUAGGCAAGCACACCUCUGCCCAGAUUACUGCGUGGUCAGGCCACCAGGCCCCACCUCUCACACCUGUGAAAAGGUGACUUCUUUUGAGAAGGAAAGGAGGGAGCUGAGUGUCCCAGAACAGAAUCUUCUGGCUUCUCUAUUCAAGUUUCUAUUCCAGAUUCUCAACAAGUCACGCUCGGCCCUCUCCAGAGCCUGUCCAUGAGUCUCUGCAUUUGGUCGUUCACGUCUUCAUUCAUCCAUUGUCCAUCUGUUUAUUCCUUCAGCAUGUCUUUCUUGCCCACAUCCUGUGUGCAAACUGCUGUUCUAGAUGUUUGGCAACAGUGGGGAACGAGGCAGACAAAAGACCUGUCCUCACGGCACUUUCAUACGGUCAGAGGACAAGACAUUAGUCAAACAGUGCUGAAAUCAGGGUUAGUUCUGACAGUGGUAAGAGCUGCAAUGACAGAAACAGCAAUUAGCUGGGGUCUUGUUGUCCCAGCUAACCAUGACCCUGACCCCCACCUGCUUCCACCAAUGGAAGACAAGCAUGGCUCAGUUAUAGAGAAGCAGCCUCGUAGCGCUGUGAAGGGUCUUGCCGAUCGUGAAAGGCUGUGUGUCUUGCGUCCAGACAGGGAUGUUAGUUUGUGUCUGCCCCAUCCCUACAGCCGGGUAUUUUGGGAGAGGUGCUUUCUAGCCAAGGUGGCAGGGACACAUAACUCCUGCAGUGGCUGGAUUUCCUAGAUAAAGACCAUGAGGUGACAACACCACAGGGUUGUGAGAGACUCGGGUGGUCUUUGCUGGAGGUUGGGGGCCCUAAGUGUAGUUCAGGGCAGUGCAACUCGAAGGGUCACUCCCGGGACCACUAGUGCCGCUGGCCCCAGAUCUACUGAAUUAGGACCUCUGGCGUGGGGACCUCAGGAGUUGCCACAUGCUCCCCAAAGACGAGAAACACUGGUAUCAGGUACAAGCAUGGCAGUCCGGACAAAUGGAGUCCAGCGUGAGAACUGGCUCUCUGCUUUCUGAGGUUUAGUUCCCCUAUCUUAUAAGGGCAUAAAAAUAGCAUAACUUCCGGUACCGACUUCUGAAGUUAUGCAGAGGGUAUUAACUAGUGCAUGUAAGUGCCUGGGACCUGGCACGAGUACAGUAAACAGCAGCUAGUUUUUCUUUCAUUAUGAUGUUGUUCUCCUGUCUGCAUAUGGAGAGCAGGCCUACCUACCCUAGCUUUGGAGCAUUGGGAGUUGGUCAAAAACCUCAGCGUGACCCGAGGAGGCCUCUCUUGAACAGGCUGUCUGGCUGGCCAGGUGCUUUUUGCCACCCAGCAGGACUGGUGAGUCUGCUUAGCUCACUGUCUUGUGACCCUGAGGGCUUAUAGGCAAGAGUUGUCAGGAAUCUGGCCUCGACUUGCUCUAGGAAGUAUGGCCUCAGAUAAGGCUACACACGCAUGCUGUCAUCACGAGACCAGACAGUGCAAAAUCAGUGCCUGGUGCAGGAUCUGAAGAAGGAAGGCUGUGGGCACUGGAGGAAGAGUGGAUGCAGGAGGGCGAGGUGAUAAAUAGUGGGCUUCCCGACCCUAAUCCCACCCCAAGCCCUGCAGAGAUAACCAACAAGGCUCUGGCAUAUUCCAUGGUGUGCUCUCCUGCCACCCCACCCCACCCAGUGAGGCUCACAAAAUGGGGCGAGAAGGCUAACACCCCAGCAAAAGAUAUGCCAGGCCAGGGGCAAAUCAGAGAGAGAGAAAAACCGUCAUCUAUUCCUGUUGACCUUACAUUCAGAUUUCUGCAUUACCUUUCCUGAAAUCAGCUUCAGAAGGUCCUUAUCAAGAUCUGUUACCUCGAAGUUUAUUCUACCAAAACCUUGAAAAGAAGGACACAUCCUUAAUACUACAAUACCUGAGACAGAAGUAUAAGUGUGGGAAUAUUAUUCUGUACUUUGUA